Molecule: ribosomal RNA, 253 nt
Filed under: uncultured bacterium
Lineage: Bacteria
Description: partial 16S ribosomal RNA
Rfam family: Bacterial small subunit ribosomal RNA
Source: RNAcentral
UACGAAGGGGGCUAGCGUUGCUCGGAAUCACUGGGCGUAAAGCGCUCGUAGGCGGAUUGUUAAGUCGGGGGUGAAAUCCUGGAGCUCAACUCCAGAACUGCCUUCGAUACUGGCAAUCUUGAGUCCGGGAGAGGUGAGUGGAACUCCGAGUGUAGAGGUGAAAUUCGUAGAUAUUCGGAAGAACACCAGUGGCGAAGGCGGCUCACUGGCCCGGUACUGACGCUGAGGUGCGAAAGCGUGGGGAGCAAACAGG